Molecule: long non-coding RNA, 2665 nt
Organism: Equus caballus (horse)
Lineage: Eukaryota; Metazoa; Chordata; Mammalia; Perissodactyla; Equidae
Source: Ensembl
AUUAACUUGUUUAUUGGCAUUUUUAUUUGAAUAUACUCAUUUCUCUGUAUUUAUCUCUAUUUUAUUUUGACAUUCUAAAUGACAAUUAUCUGUAUGUGGAAUUAUACAUAGGUUUAAAAAACAUCUUUUUAGAAGUAAAUCAACUAAUUAAAUUGUUUUUAAUAAAUUACAUAAGAAACACUUAUCUAUCAUAUUUGUUAUGAAAAUUCAAACAAUGCUUUGGUCUGUAAAAUUAAAUAUAAUACUCUGCACUGACAAUUCAUCGCUCCCAUCUAUUCCCACUCUUUCCAAAGGAAUAACUGUUAACAGUUUAAAGCAUGUGUUAAAGCAAUUUUUCUACUAAUUUAUAUACAUAUAUGAACUUACACAUAUUUUCACAUAAUGCAAUCUUAGUUUAUGUAUUGUUCUGUAACUGGCUUUUUCAUAUAAAAUUGAUAUUGGAGAUCUUUGCCUAUUAGGACAUAUAGAUAUCCCUCAUUCUUUUUAAUAGUUGCUCAUUAUUCCAUAAAAUCAUUUACCAUAAUUUGACUAUUUUUCUACUGUGGAACAUUCUGUGAGUUUCAAUUAUUUUCUAUGAUCAACAAUACUUAACUGACAUAUCUGUAUAUUCAUCUUUUUGCUAAUUAGUUUUAUUUUCUUUAAUGAUUGAUUCCUACAAAUAGACUACUGUUAAUAAGUAUGAACAUUUAAUAUAUUGAUAAAAAUUAAAAAUUUGUGUUCCAAAAAGGUUUCACCAAUUUACAUUCUCACCAUCACUGUAUGAAAGUUCCUGUUUAUUCACAUCCUUGAUUAUAGAGUAUAUCAUCAUUCUUAAUUAAUGUUUGUCAGUUUGAUGACUGAAAAAUAAUUUCAUUUUUUAAAUUUGUGUUUCCGCGUUUAUUAACAAGAUUGUAUGUACUUACAUAUAUUCAAUAGCUAUUCAUAUUUUUUCUUCUGUGAAUUUCUUGAUAUAUUUUACCAAUUUUCUAAUUUAUUUAUAGAUAUUCUUUAGAUAGUCUAUUAUUUAUUAUUUGCAAAUAUUUUUUCUUGAAGUCUGUGUCUCGCCUUUUAGCAUUUUAUGCUGCCUGUUGUACAGAAGCUUUAAUUUUUAUUUAGUCAAAUUGUUUCAUAUAUUCCUUAUAGUUUCUGAGUUUUGUGAUUUACUUUCAAUAGUUUGUCCUUUGAGGGUUUUGUUGUCAUUAUUUUGUUCUGUCUUGUCUUAAAGAAUGUGCUCAAAUCCUACAUUAUUUAGCAAUUUAUUUUUCUCUUGUUAUAGCACACGGUGGGCAUCAUUAAGCCCAACUAAUGUAGAUCACAUGAAUUCAUUUUAAUUUCUGACUAAUAACUUAUAAUAUUAGAUAUAUUUGAUUUCCUUAACGAUUCCCCUUUAGAUAGAUAUUCAGAUUGUUUAAAUAUUUUGCCACCACAAAUAAUGCUGCAAUAGUCAUCUUUAUAUCUAGAUCCCCACUAAUGGUUCUAUUUCUAUAAGAUAGAAUCCUCAAAGUGGUAUCACCAAGUCAUGGAUGCAUUUAUCUAUAUUUUUAGUAGAUACAGACAGAUAACUUUCCAAAAAGUUGGAGCAAUUCACAUUCCCGCCAACAAUAGAGAAUAAAUAGGUCUGUUCCCCUUCAGGCUCAGUACCACUAAAAGUUGUUACUUUUUCAAAAAUUACUAAUCUGAUUGGUUAAAAAUCUUAUAGGAGCUCUAAUUAAUCAUCUAUUUUAACUUCACUGAGUUGCCUGUUUAUAACUUUUUUCUACUUUUCUAUCUGGUGGUUUAUGAUGGGAAACAAUUUUAAGCAAAGCAGGAAAUCACAAAAGGUAAAAAUACAUAUUUAACUGAAUAAACUAUUGGCAUUUUUAAUAUCAAAACGGAAGUUAAAAUAUGGAGCCAAAAAGAUAUUGCAACACAAUUAAAAGAGAGAGCUCCCCUAAAUAAAUUAGAAAAGGAUGAGCAAGGCUGAUUGUUGCACUGGAUCUGGAAGGGAAGGAACAGACUUGGGUUUUCUAGAUGCGAUGUAACUCUUGUAAUCUACAAUGUAAUCUGGCAUGGCCAAUAAGCACACGUCCCAGGAAGCUAUCCUCACAAGUUACUCCAAGAGAUUUCUUCCUUUGAUGCCUGACGUCAUUUACCCCUGCCUUAAACGCAGCACUUUAAUGUAAAACCAUUAAGAAUUAUUUAAGUUUUUGAAAUUUUUCUUAUUAGGUUAAGGAAGUUUCUUUUAAUUCCUAAUUUACUAAGAGGCUCUUUUAAAAUUACAAACAGGUGUUGAACUUUAUCAAAAAUUUUAUUGAGUUAAUAAUGGGGUUUUUUUCUUUAAAUGAAUCACUGAUUUCUGUCUAGAAGUGAACAUUGACCCCUGCCUCAUACUAUAUGCAAAACGUAAUUUGAUUUGAACUACAGUCCUCAAUAUAAAAGCUAAAACCAUAAGGAUUCUAGACAAAUUAUGAAGGAAUAACUUCGAGUCCUUGGAAUAGACCAUGUCUAUCUAGAGAGGAUGCAAAAAAUACUAAUCACAAGAGAAAAAAUGAUGCAUUGGAUAACAUCAAAAUUGAAAACUUCUUUUUUCCAGCCUUAUUGAGAUAUAAAUGACAUAUAACAUUAUGUAAGUUGAAGGUGUAUGUUAUGAUUUGAUACAUGUAUACAUUAAGAAACAUUUACCAUAGUAGCAUUAGUUAACAAAUCC